AACAGGAUGAGAAGCCGCAGGGUGUCUGGAGCAAGCAGGUGAUACUCCGUGUGGAGGGUGACAGCAAGGCAGGGACUGGGCGAGGAAGCCACCGCAGCUUCCAAACACGGCCGAGGCAGCUGGACCAGACGGCAGUGGGUGAGACGCAGGAGAAAAACUUGAGCAAAUCUGUGCUUCGGGAAGAACAUUCUAGCCGUGAUGGACAGAUGCACUAACGAGGGGGAGCAUAAAGCAGGGAGCACUCAGGAAACCAUUAGAAGAGUUUGAAGAAGAGCCAACUAGUGCCUGGAAAGGGCAACAUAAGUGGCAAUGGCCAUGAAGAGAGGGAGUCCAAUUUGAAAAACGCCAUGGAGGAGACUCAACAGACCAUGGCAACUGAUGACAUGGGCACAAGGGGACACAGGUUUGAGCCCUGGUCUGGAAAGAUCCCACAUGCCGC
This is a non-coding RNA of Delphinapterus leucas (beluga whale), 439 nucleotides long. The record is from RefSeq and is a predicted model, not a curated record. Lineage: Eukaryota; Metazoa; Chordata; Mammalia; Artiodactyla; Monodontidae.